GAUGAACGCUGGCGGCGUGCCUAAUACAUGCAAGUCGAGCGAACGGACGAGAAGCUUGCUUCUCUGAUGUUAGCGGCGGACGGGUGAGUAACACGUGGAUAACCUACCUAUAAGACUGGGAUAACUUCGGGAAACCGGAGCUAGUACCGGAUGAUAUUUUGAACCGCAUGGUUCAAAAGUGAAAGACGGUCUUGCUGUCACUUAUAGAUGGAUCCGCGCUGCAUUAGCUAGUUGGUAAGGUAACGGCUUACCAAGGCAACGAUGCAUAGCCGACCUGAGAGGGUGAUCGGCCACACUGGAACUGAGACACGGUCCAGACUCCUACGGGAGGCAGCAGUAGGGAAUCUUCCGCAAUGGGCGAAAGCCUGACGGAGCAACGCCGCGUGAGUGAUGAAGGUCUUCGGAUCGUAAAACUCUGUUAUUAGGGAAGAACAUAUGUGUAAGUAACUGUGCACAUCUUGACGGUACCUAAUCAGAAAGCCACGGCUAACUACGUG
This 497-nucleotide ribosomal RNA is filed under the name uncultured bacterium. Its description in RNAcentral is "partial 16S ribosomal RNA". It matches the Rfam family "Bacterial small subunit ribosomal RNA", at positions 28 to 507 of the family's 1533-position model. The record is from RNAcentral.